This 285-nucleotide long non-coding RNA is filed under the name Nicotiana benthamiana. RNAcentral's name for it is "long non-coding RNA (NBEN_LNC025590)". Lineage: Eukaryota; Viridiplantae; Streptophyta; Magnoliopsida; Solanales; Solanaceae. The record is from RNAcentral.
CCAACGCGUUUCAGCAAAACCUUAGAUAACAAAAGUUAGCUACUCAUGAAAAUACAAUGGAGGAAUAAACUACUAGAAAAUUCAUAAUCGAAGAUUGCCAGAAAAAUAAAAAAGAAUAAGAAUAAUGAUGUUUUGGGUGAUCUCUCACACUUGUUUCUCUUGUCAAACUACUCUCAAAAGUAAGUUUUACCCUAUGAAAACCUUGAUUAUUUAACCUUGCUCGAGCUUGACUUUAUAUAGGUUAAGUGGGUUUCUCUCCAGAUUUCCAAUUUUACCCCUAAAUAA